This 771-nucleotide ribosomal RNA is filed under the name uncultured Bacillota bacterium. Its description in RNAcentral is "bacterial SSU rRNA". It matches the Rfam family "Bacterial small subunit ribosomal RNA", at positions 129 to 916 of the family's 1533-position model. The record is from RNAcentral. Lineage: Bacteria; Bacillati; Bacillota.
CCCUAGAGUGGGGGACAACAGUUGGAAACGACUGCUAAUACCGCAUAAGCCCACGGUACCGCAUGGUACUGAGGGAAAAGGAUUUAUUCGCUUUAGGAUGGACUCGCGUCCAAUUAGCUAGUUGGUGAGGUAACGGCCCACCAAGGCGACGAUUGGUAGCCGGACUGAGAGGUUGAACGGCCACAUUGGGACUGAGACACGGCCCAGACUCCUACGGGAGGCAGCAGUGGGGGAUAUUGCACAAUGGGGGAAACCCUGAUGCAGCGACGCCGCGUGGAGGAAGAAGGUUUUCGGAUUGUAAACUCCUGUCGUUAGGGACGAUAAUGACGGUACCUAACAAGAAAGCACCGGCUAACUACGUGCCAGCAGCCGCGGUAAAACGUAGGGUGCAAGCGUUGUCCGGAAUUACUGGGUGUAAAGGGAGCGCAGGCGGGAAGACAAGUUGGAAGUGAAAACCAUGGGCUCAACCCAUGAAUUGCUUUCAAAACUGUUUUUCUUGAGUAGUGCAGAGGUAGAUGGAAUUCCCGGUGUAGCGGUGGAAUGCGUAGAUAUCGGGAGGAACACCAGUGGCGAAGGCGGUCUACUGGGCACCAACUGACGCUGAGGCUCGAAAGCAUGGGUAGCAAACAGGAUUAGAUACCCUGGUAGUCCAUGCCGUAAACGAUGAUUACUAGGUGUUGGGGGAUUGACCCCCUCAGUGCCGCAGUUAACACAAUAAGUAAUCCACCUGGGGAGUACGACCGCAAGGUUGCAACUCAAAUGAAUUGACGG